UCAGAAGACAAUGGAGAACGAUGUGAGCGAAGCUAUUCGGUCUGUUGUGGCAACGCUGCCGAAUAUUGAGAAGUUAAAGCCGGAGCAAGAACAAGCUUUGUUGAGUUUUGUUGGUGGCCAUGAUGUGGUGGCGCUUCUCCCCACGGGGUUCGGGAAAAGUUUGAUUUUCCAGCUGGCUCCGUUAGUGGUGAAGGAGUUGGGUAAGGCGAAUGCUGGCGAUGCUAAGCCGAUAGUUAUUGUAGUCUCCCCUCUCGUUGCACUAAUGGAGGACCAAGUGAAGUUGGGAGUUCGUGCUGGGCAGCUCGGCGUGCAUGAUGACCGUGACAUUUUGGAUGGAAGCUUGAGUCUGGUGUUCGGCAGCCCCGAGUCCUGGCUGCUGAACAACAAAUGGCGACGAAUGCUAGCCUCAACCAUAUACCAGGACAACCUCAUUGGUACGUCCACGUUACGUACAAAUGGGGUGAGGCUUCCAAAGGCGAGUCGGCAUUCCGAGAGAGUUUUGCCAAGCUCGGAGAGCUAAGAUCUAUAGCCAAGGAGGGUACACCUGUUUUGGCACUGACUGCCUCCGCUGACAUCAAGUCAAGAAGCAGAGUCAUCAGACUACUCCAUAUGGACAAUGCUGUUCAAAUCAUCGCUAGUCCCAACAAGACAAACAUCCGUCUUGGCUUGUGCAAGGUGCCCACUCAUCACAUGAACUGCCUAGACUGGAUAGUGCAACAUGCCAAAGACGAGGGCUCAGCAAUGCUACCGAUAUUAAUUUACUGCCAAAGCCUUAAAUCAGUGGGGAGAGUUUUCGCAUAUUUAAAGGCGGAACUGCAAGGACAUGCCUGGGUGGGCUGUGAUCCGGACUGUAGAAGUGAGAACCUACUGAUUGGCAUGUUCCACAGCAAAACCCGGUAACCCUUCCUUUUACAGUCCCCUAAUUACUAGGUAUUUACCCGGUACAUACAUGGUAAAUUAUAGUGUAUUACUGGGUAAUUACCACUGGUAAUAAGAAGGUAAAUACAGAGGUAGUUACCCGGUAAGUACAUGGUAAAUCAUAGUGUAUUACUGGGUAAUUACCACUGGUAAUAAGAAGGUAAAUACAGAGGAAUUAUCCGGUAAAUUAUAGUGUAUUACUGUGUAUUUACCACUGGUAAUAAGAAGGUAAAUACAGAGGAAUUACAGCUGAUGUACCAAGUAAAACCUCCACUAUUACCCAUCAACUCAACUAAGUAGCGUGUAGUUGUAACUGUUUUAGGUUCGUAAUAACUCCGACAUUGUGUUCUUCCUAGGAAAUUAGGCAACCAAUUCUUAGAAACACCUAUUAUCCAAGGUUUAUGUUGGUAACAGCCCAAAUUUAAUGAUGUACUAUCUAGAAAUUAGCAUAGUACUUCCCAAUAAAAUACUUUUUCUUAGUUAUUAUUCAUAGCUACACCCAUUUAGAAAGGGUUUAUUCGAUUUACCACUAUGGAAUUACUUACCUGGUAACAACAUCUGCAGGAAUCUGUUUUCCUCUAGUGUCAUGGUACAUCUUCUUAAAUACUGGGUACGAAGCAGUUUGUUUCCAUGGUAUUACCAGGUUCUUACCAUAUCAUUUAUAAUAGAUAUAUUCCAUUAUCCAUGCAGUCAACACAAACAUGUACCAUGUACGUUCUGCGACAUUACCAAGUAAAACACGACAAUUUACCCAGUAAGUAAGCUGAAAUUGUACUGUAAAAGGAAGCCUCGUUUGUUUCCAUGGUAUUACCAGGUUCUUACCAUAAAAUUUAUAAUAGAUACAUUCCAUUGUCCAUGCAGUCAACACAAACUUGUACCAUGUACGUUCUGCGACGUUACCAAGUAAAACACGACAAUUUACCCAGUAA
Gadus chalcogrammus (walleye pollock) is the source of this 1847-nucleotide long non-coding RNA. RefSeq lists it as uncharacterized. The transcript is spliced from 3 exons. The record is from RefSeq and is a predicted model, not a curated record. NCBI's taxonomy places the organism in Eukaryota, Metazoa, Chordata, Actinopteri, Gadiformes, Gadidae.